GUAGAUCCAGUGCACAGAAAUCUUAUUCUUAAAAUCUGGAAGCCUGGCCAGUCUCAAACAGUAAGACAGCAUGGAAAAUAUUAACUUUAAAAAGUCAAUGAUUGCUUCAUUGCUUAUGGGUGCUGUGAACCAAGAUGCCAGCAUUGUGGUGCAAGUAAAUCCAAAUUUGACAGCCAUGCAGCUUGUCAGGAACACAAAUUCACUUGUGAAUAAAUUCUGUUGAAAAGCAUACAAAGAAUUCCAUCAAGACAAGCCAAGUUGUCAGAUGUCUUCAUUAUUUUCAGGACACUUCUGAUGUAAAAGAUGAGUAAAGGAUGAGUCUAAGAAAUGGUGCUGUAUUUGAUUAUAUUUUUUCAGAACUUUUCAGGAAUCCAGGAUGAAACAGAAAGCGAUAGCUGACCAUUUAUUAGCAAUUUUUCCCAUUGGUAAAAAACCUGUAGGGAAGAUCAUGAAUGUUAACAUAUUCGGUACUCUGGAAUAAAAAUGGUCAAACCUAUUCAAUGUCUAAGCAGGAUAUCCCCACUUAGUUCUUGCCACAAGGUAGUAGCAUAGCUUUUCCCUUCAGUCAUUUAAGCCAGAUUUAGAACAAUCUAUUUGUAGAAAACGGAAUUUAAAUUUGGUUAAUUCCCUCAAAUCCUUGCACUGACCACACUCAUGAAAACUGGCUACCCAAAGAAAUUAAACACUGACGUUCUUUAACUUCUCCCUGCAUAUGUUGCUGCCUCACAGAAAACUGUCAAACAUCUUAAGUCAUUAUUUUAUCCAUUACAGUGAACAAAGAACUGAUGAUCAGAAUGGCCAUCUCUGCAUCUAUUCUGACUACCAGUGCUGAAGUGGCCUUUGGAGAUCUCUGGAAAGCUGCACUGGACAACACUUUACUGGAGAAGAAUAACCAUAUCUGGUGUUAUUUUCCAGCAGAAUUCGUUUUGUUGAGGACACAAAACAAAAGCCUUUCUGUCACUGGUCCUAAAACCAUUUCACAAAGAUGGACAAAAGGAUUCAUAUGAGGAGACCUGGAUUUCACCAGCGUCGCCUUGUGUGAGCACAAAUACAGACUGUGAUGAUCUGCUGGCUCAGUCACACACUCAGACUUGCUGGUGGCUUGGUGAAGUGCUAGUUUCUGGACCAGAGAUCCUGCUGGAUGUGCAUAGACCCCACUAGCAGGAAUUUUUGAUCCCUCUCCACGUCUGCAGAGAUUUGCACAUGCACACAACUACCCAAGCACCACAUGGCUGGGCACAGGGGUCUCUUCAAUGCUGUAAACUUCGGUGAGAAAGUCCAGGCAGUUAAUCCUGAAGUGAAUUCACCCCAGGUGGCAGCAUGUGUUACAUGACCCAGCAGUUACAUGAUGCAGCCAAGGCAGCAGCCUUACAGGCAGCUGUAAAAAGCCCACAUGCAUAACAAACACAAAGCAGUCUGUUCUUGUUCUAGUACUUUGGAAUCUAUUUCUUCUGCUGCUUUUAGAUGCUUCACCAGCACAAUGCUUUCUUGUUAGGAUCCAUCUCAGUUUUUUAACGGUUUCAUUCACCCCUCUGCACAAUGCAACACCUUGUUCCCAAAAUUCUUUGCAUCAGAAAACAAAAACAAAACAAACAAAAAAGUGAAAGUCUUUAUAUGCAAAGAAGGAGCUAGCAAAGGUUUCAAAUGACAUACUGAGCAUUCUCAAAAUCUUGGCUUUUUGGUCUGACAGUCUUCCAGAGCUUUUGGAGGCAGUUUCACUACUGCCUUAAGCUGAUCCAAGUCUGACUGUCACCCAGAAAGAUUGUCUUGCCCUCCACAUAUGACAGCGUGAUCUUCUCCAUCUCCUCUGUGCCAGCUCCAGCUCUGGUUUAACAGGGCAAUGAGCCUGUACUGAAAAUUAAAAUUAAAAAACCUGUCUGAAAUUAUUAUUAUUUUUUUCCUAUAGUGUUAUUGUUCAGCCAGAUUGUCUCCUUUGCUACCAGUUUCAGGGUCUCAUGGCCACCAUAGAUGUC
Anser brachyrhynchus (Pink-footed goose) is the source of this 1973-nucleotide long non-coding RNA. The record is from Ensembl. Lineage: Eukaryota; Metazoa; Chordata; Aves; Anseriformes; Anatidae.